GUGGGGGAUAGCCCGGCGAAAGCCGGAUUAAUACCGCAUACGACCCAAGGGUGAAAGCGGGGGAUCGCAAGACCUCGCGCUAUUGGAGCGGCCGAUGUCAGAUUAGGUAGUUGGUGAGGUAAAGGCUCACCAAGCCUUCGAUCUGAAGCUGGUCUGAGAGGACGACCAGCCACACUGGGACUGAGACACGGCCCAGACUCCUACGGGAGGCAGCAGUGGGGAAUUUUGGACAAUGGGCGAAAGCCUGAUCCAGCCAUGCCGCGUGCGGGAAGAAGGCCUUCGGGUUGUAAACCGCUUUUGUCAGGGAAGAAACGCUCCGAGCCAAUACCCCGGAGUAAUGACGGUACCUGAAGAAUAAGCACCGGCUAACUACGUGCCAGCAGCCGCGGUAAUACGUAGGGUGCAAGCGUUAAUCGGAAUUACUGGGCGUAAAGCGUGCGCAGGCGGUUAUGCAAGACAGAUGUGAAAUCCCCGGGCUUAACCUGGGAACUGCAUUUGUGACUGCAUGGCUAGAGUGCGGCAGAGGGGGAUGGAAUUCCGCGUGUAGCAGUGAAAUGCGUAGAUAUACGGAGGAACACCGAUGGCGAAGGCAAUCCCCUGGGCCUGCACUGACGCUCAUGCACGAAAGCGUGGGGAGCAAACAGGAUUAGAUACCCUGGUAGUCCACGCCCUAAACGAUGUCAACUGGUUGUUGGAAGGGUUCCCUUUCAGUAACGAAGCUAACGCGUGAAGUUGACCGCCUGGGGAGUACGGCCGCAAGGUUGAAACUCAAAGGAGUUGACGGGGACCCGCACAAGCGGUGGAUGAUGUGGUUUAAUUCGAUGCAACGCGAAAAACCUUACCUACCCUUGACAUGUCUGGAAUUCUGCAGAGAUGUGGAAGUGCUCGAAAGAGAACCAGAACACAGGUGCUGCAUGGCCGUCGUCAGCUCGUGUCGUGAGAUGUUGGGUUAAGUCCCGCAACGAGCGCAACCCUUGUCAUUAGUUGCUACGAAAGAGCACUCUAAUGAGACUGCCGGUGACAAACCGGAGGAAGGUGGGGAUGACGUCAGGUCCUCAUGGCCCUUAUGGGUAGGGCUACACACGUCAUACAAUGGCCGGUACAGAGGGCUGCCAACCCGCGAGGGGGAGCUAAUCCCAGAAAACCGGUCGUAGUCCGGAUCGCAGUCUGCGACUCGACUGCGUGAAGUCGGAAUCGCUAGUAAUCGCGGAUCAGCUUGCCGCGGUGAAUACGUUCCCGGGUCUUGUAUACACCGCCCGUCACAC
This 1265-nucleotide ribosomal RNA is filed under the name metagenome. RNAcentral's name for it is "bacterial SSU rRNA". It matches the Rfam family "Bacterial small subunit ribosomal RNA", at positions 136 to 1402 of the family's 1533-position model. The record is from RNAcentral.